Molecule: non-coding RNA, 29 nt
Filed under: Rattus norvegicus (Norway rat)
Lineage: Eukaryota; Metazoa; Chordata; Mammalia; Rodentia; Muridae
Source: RNAcentral
UGUCUUAAAGAGCCAGAAUCUGAGGGUGU